GUCUGUUGCCGUUGUCGUGGUCUGCGGACGUUCGCGUCCGGAGCUAAGAGGGAAGUCGGUGAGGGCGUGAAACCCUGAAUCCGGCGCUGCCCCCGCAACUGUGAGCGGCGAGCCGCUGUCCGUUUCGUGUCACUGACGCGCCGAAGCUGGUUCGGGGAUGCGUCGGGAAGGCCAGGGCAGGGGUGACGACCCGUGAGCCAGGAGACCUGCCUCGACAGAUAACGUCCU
Molecule: non-coding RNA, 228 nt
Filed under: Caulobacter vibrioides
Lineage: Bacteria; Pseudomonadati; Pseudomonadota; Alphaproteobacteria; Caulobacterales; Caulobacteraceae
Also listed under: 2 other names
Source: RNAcentral